This 238-nucleotide long non-coding RNA is filed under the name Lathyrus oleraceus (garden pea). RNAcentral describes it as "Pisum sativum (pea) long non-coding RNA (PSAT_LNC015310)". The record is from RNAcentral. Lineage: Eukaryota; Viridiplantae; Streptophyta; Magnoliopsida; Fabales; Fabaceae.
CACCAUCUUCAUUGUCUGUUGCAAAGACAUCCCCGUGAUUCAUCAAUCCAGCACUAGUGAAAGUACACGGCCCUUUCUGAUCCUGGACACCCUGCUCUGAUGACUGAAAAGGCUGAUAACCAAUGCCAAACAUGUCUUCUUUUACGGGCACAUCAAUCACCUUGCCCCAGCCUUCCGUGUCACCUGAAUGAAUGACCUCUAGAGCUUGUUUAUAGGACACAAUCGAGGUACCUGGUUU